RNAcentral lists this microRNA precursor (73 nucleotides) under Myotis davidii. Its description in RNAcentral is "mir-9193 microRNA precursor family". It matches the Rfam family "mir-9193 microRNA precursor family". Lineage: Eukaryota; Metazoa; Chordata; Mammalia; Chiroptera; Vespertilionidae. The record is from Rfam by way of RNAcentral.
CUGGGGGCGGGGGGUCCCUCAGCCUGGAUUGCAAAAGGGUACAGGCCAGGCCAAGGAACUCCACUGGUGCAGG